CUUGCCUGAAAGCACUUACCGACUGCAUCGCUGACGGCUGAGAGCUGCCCAUUCUUCUUCGUACACACAUACUUUCCAUUACUUGCUUUGAGAGCGACCCUCUGUCCUCGCCACUCGAUGUCAAACAUUGUGUUGACCUCUCUAGGAAGAAAGACAUGAAUGAGCUGAGAACUAAAAGGUCUCCAUGUCUGUCUCCACAUCCUGAUUUGCUGAAAUACUCACCCCUGGUAACACAGGAAGAAAAGACAGCCUUGGUAAUUGUGCCUUCAUUCAGUAGAAAUUAUAGAUUACAAUGUUGCAUCCUCUUGAAUGCCAUCUGCCUCCCUCUGAAUGUCAUUUACUCUCUCAGGCAUUGCCAAGGAGACUUGUAUGCGUAGUAGUAAUCCAGCAUUUAAUUACAUCCAUGCCUUGUGUUUACAUCACAUAAUACAUUGUGCUGCCUACAAUGACUCAACCAAGGCGCCAAAGAGAGACAAGAAUAGAAGUAUGCGUUGGUUUUUUUUUUCACAGAUUGUGUCACACUGACGAGUUCUUUGACACACCAGAACAGCUGUCACGAAGCACAGACUGUUCGUUUUUAGAGCCCUUGCCACAAGUUGAAUGAUCAGUGAUUAAAUUGAAGCUCUUGUGUUGAAACAGACAUUAAAAAGUACUUCACAAGUCGGGACAAGAUUUAAAAAAUAUUAACGCUGUAAAAUCAUCACUAAUAAAUUAUUUUAAUUGAC
Acanthopagrus latus (yellowfin seabream) is the source of this 725-nucleotide long non-coding RNA. RefSeq lists it as uncharacterized. The transcript is spliced from 2 exons. NCBI's taxonomy places the organism in Eukaryota, Metazoa, Chordata, Actinopteri, Spariformes, Sparidae. The record is from RefSeq and is a predicted model, not a curated record.